This 492-nucleotide ribosomal RNA is filed under the name uncultured bacterium. Its description in RNAcentral is "partial 16S ribosomal RNA". It matches the Rfam family "Bacterial small subunit ribosomal RNA", at positions 29 to 507 of the family's 1533-position model. The record is from RNAcentral.
AGUGAACGCUGGCGGUAGGCCUAACACAUGCAAGUCGAACGGCAGCACAGUAAGAGCUUGCUCUUACGGGUGGCGAGUGGCGGACGGGUGAGGAAUACAUCGGAAUCUACUUUUUCGUGGGGGAUAACGUAGGGAAACUUACGCUAAUACCGCAUACGACCUACGGGUGAAAGCAGGGGAUCUUCGGACCUUGCGCGAUUGAAUGAGCCGAUGUCGGAUUAGCUAGUUGGCGGGGUAAAGGCCCGCCAAGGCGACGAUCCGUAGCUGGUCUGAGAGGAUGAUCAGCCACACUGGAACUGAGACACGGUCCAGACUCCUACGGGAGGCAGCAGUGGGGAAUAUUGGACAAUGGGCGCAAGCCUGAUCCAGCCAUACCGCGUGGGUGAAGAAGGCCUUCGGGUUGUAAGGCCCUUUUGUUGGGAAAGAAAAGCAGCAGGCUAAUACCCCGCUGUUCUGACGGUACCCAAAGAAUAAGCACCGGCUAACUUCGUG